RNAcentral lists this ribosomal RNA (3092 nucleotides) under Salmonella enterica. RNAcentral describes it as "23S ribosomal RNA". It matches the Rfam family "Bacterial large subunit ribosomal RNA". The record is from RNAcentral. RNAcentral also lists the same sequence under 2 other names. Lineage: Bacteria; Pseudomonadati; Pseudomonadota; Gammaproteobacteria; Enterobacterales; Enterobacteriaceae.
GGUUAAGCGACUAAGCGUACACGGUGGAUGCCCUGGCAGUCAGAGGCGAUGAAGGGCGUGCUAAUCUGCGAUAAGCGCCGGUAAGGUGAUAUGAACCGUUAUAACCGGCGAUACCCGAAUGGGGAAACCCAGUGUGACUCGUCACACUAUCAUUAACUGAAUCCAUAGGUUAAUGAGGCGAACCGGGGGAACUGAAACAUCUAAGUACCCCGAGGAAAAGAAAUCAACCGAGAUUCCCCCAGUAGCGGCGAGCGAACGGGGAGGAGCCCAGAGCCUGAAUCAGCAUGUGUGUUAGUGGAAGCGUCUGGAAAGGCGCGCGAUACAGGGUGACAGCCCCGUACACAAAAGCGCAUGUGCUGUGAGCUCGAUGAGUAGGGCGGGACACGUGGUAUCCUGUCUGAAUAUGGGGGGACCAUCCUCCAAGGCUAAAUACUCCUGACUGACCGAUAGUGAACCAGUACCGUGAGGGAAAGGCGAAAAGAACCCCGGCGAGGGGAGUGAAAAAGAACCUGAAACCGUGUACGUACAAGCAGUGGGAGCCCCACCACCAAAGCAUUCUCUGGUGUUGAAGGCCCUGCAAAGCAGCAUCGCGGUGGCGGAGCGUCGUUUGCGACGCCCAACACACAAAACAAGCGGUGAAUGCUUUGGGGUGGGGUGACUGCGUACCUUUUGUAUAAUGGGUCAGCGACUUAUAUUCUGUAGCAAGGUUAACCGAAUAGGGGAGCCGGAGGGAAACCGAGUCUUAAUUGGGCGUUAAGUUGCAGGGUAUAGACCCGAAACCCGGUGAUCUAGCCAUGGGCAGGUUGAAGGUUGGGUAACACUAACUGGAGGACCGAACCGACUAAUGUUGAAAAAUUAGCGGAUGACCUGUGGCUGGGGGUGAAAGGCCAAUCAAACCGGGAGAUAGCUGGUUCUCCCCGAAAGCUAUUUAGGUAGCGCCUCGUGAAUUCAUCUCCGGGGGUAGAGCACUGUUUCGGCUAGGGGGCCAUCCCGGCUUACCAACCCGAUGCAAACUGCGAAUACCGGAGAAUGUUAUCACGGGAGACACACGGCGGGUGCUAACGUCCGUCGUGAAGAGGGAAACAACCCAGACCGCCAGCUAAGGUCCCAAAGUCAUGGUUAAGUGGGAAACGAUGUGGGAAGGCCCAGACAGCCAGGAUGUUGGCUUAGAAGCAGCCAUCAUUUAAAGAAAGCGUAAUAGCUCACUGGUCGAGUCGGCCUGCGCGGAAGAUGUAACGGGGCUAAACCAUGCACCGAAGCUGCGGCAGCGAACGUAUCACCCAAGACAACUUUACGGAGUUGACGAUUGACGGAGCGAAGCGACGUCAAAGCGUUCAUUAAAGUCGAGUUGGCUUAGGGAUACGUUCGUUGGGUAGGGGAGCGUUCUGUAAGCCUGUGAAGGUGUGUCGUGAGGCAUGCUGGAGGUAUCAGAAGUGCGAAUGCUGACAUAAGUAACGAUAAAGCGGGUGAAAAGCCCGCUCGCCGGAAGACCAAGGGUUCCUGUCCAACGUUAAUCGGGGCAGGGUGAGUCGACCCCUAAGGCGAGGCCGAAAGGCGUAGUCGAUGGGAAACGGGUUAAUAUUCCCGUACUUGGUGUUACUGCGAAGGGGGGACGGAGAAGGCUAUGUUGGCCGGGCGACGGUUGUCCCGGUUUAAGCGUGUAGGUGUGUGUUCCAGGUAAAUCCGGUUCACUUUAACACUGAGGCGUGAUGACGAGGCACUACGGUGCUGAAGCAACAAAUGCCCUGCUUCCAGGAAAAGCCUCUAAGCAUCAGGUAACAUCAAAUCGUACCCCAAACCGACACAGGUGGUCAGGUAGAGAAUACCAAGGCGCUUGAGAGAACUCGGGUGAAGGAACUAGGCAAAAUGGUGCCGUAACUUCGGGAGAAGGCACGCUGACACGUAGGUGAAGUGAUUUACUCACGGAGCUGAAGUCAGUCGAAGAUACCAGCUGGCUGCAACUGUUUAUUAAAAACACAGCACUGUGCAAACACGAAAGUGGACGUAUACGGUGUGACGCCUGCCCGGUGCCGGAAGGUUAAUUGAUGGGGUCAGCGCAAGCGAAGCUCCUGAUCGAAGCCCCGGUAAACGGCGGCCGUAACUAUAACGGUCCUAAGGUAGCGAAAUUCCUUGUCGGGUAAGUUCCGACCUGCACGAAUGGCGUAAUGAUGGCCAGGCUGUCUCCACCCGAGACUCAGUGAAAUUGAACUCGCUGUGAAGAUGCAGUGUACCCGCGGCAAGACGGAAAGACCCCGUGAACCUUUACUAUAGCUUGACACUGAACAUUGAGCCUUGAUGUGUAGGAUAGGUGGGAGGCUUUGAAGUGUGGACGCCAGUCUGCAUGGAGCCGACCUUGAAAUACCACCCUUUAAUGUUUGAUGUUCUAACGUGGACCCGUAAUCCGGGUUGCGGACAGUGUCUGGUGGGUAGUUUGACUGGGGCGGUCUCCUCCUAAAGAGUAACGGAGGAGCACGAAGGUUGGCUAAUCCUGGUCGGACAUCAGGAGGUUAGUGCAAUGGCAUAAGCCAGCUUGACUGCGAGCGUGACGGCGCGAGCAGGUGCGAAAGCAGGUCAUAGUGAUCCGGUGGUUCUGAAUGGAAGGGCCAUCGCUCAACGGAUAAAAGGUACUCCGGGGAUAACAGGCUGAUACCGCCCAAGAGUUCAUAUCGACGGCGGUGUUUGGCACCUCGAUGUCGGCUCAUCACAUCCUGGGGCUGAAGUAGGUCCCAAGGGUAUGGCUGUUCGCCAUUUAAAGUGGUACGCGAGCUGGGUUUAGAACGUCGUGAGACAGUUCGGUCCCUAUCUGCCGUGGGCGCUGGAGAACUGAGGGGGGCUGCUCCUAGUACGAGAGGACCGGAGUGGACGCAUCACUGGUGUUCGGGUUGUCAUGCCAAUGGCACUGCCCGGUAGCUAAAUGCGGAAGAGAUAAGUGCUGAAAGCAUCUAAGCACGAAACUUGCCCCGAGAUGAGUUCUCCCUGAGACUUUAGGUCUCCUGAAGGAACGUUGAAGACGACGACGUUGAUAGGCCGGGUGUGUAAGCGCAGCGAUGCGUUGAGCUAACCGGUACUAAUGAACCGUGAGGCUUAACCUU